GACGAACGCUGGCGGCGUGCUUAACACAUGCAAGUCGAACGGAAAGGCCCUGCUUUUGUGUGGUUCUCGAGUGGCGAACGGGUGAGUAACACGUGAGUAACCUGCCCUUGACUUUGGGAUAACUUCAGGAAACUGGGGCUAAUACCGGAUAGUAGCUCCUGCUGCAUGGUGGGGGUUGGAAAGUUUCGGCGGUUGGGGAUGGACUCGCGGCUUAUCAGCUUGUUGGUGGGGUAGUGGCUUACCAAGGCUUUGACGGGUAGCCGGCCUGAGAGGGUGAACGGGCACAUGGGGACUGAGAUACGGCCCAGAGUCCUACGGGAGGCAGCAGUGGGGAAUAUUGCACAAUGGGCGGAAGCCUGAUGCAGCAACGCCGCGUGCGGGAUGAAGGCCUUCGGGUGGUAAACCGCUUUCGCCUGUGACGAAGCGUGAGUGACGGUAAUGGGUAAAGAAGCACCGGCUAACUACGUG
This 468-nucleotide ribosomal RNA is filed under the name uncultured bacterium. RNAcentral describes it as "partial 16S ribosomal RNA". It matches the Rfam family "Bacterial small subunit ribosomal RNA", at positions 28 to 507 of the family's 1533-position model. The record is from RNAcentral.